UACGUAGGGCGCAAGCGUUGUCCGGAAUUAUUGGGCGUAAAGAGCUCGUAGGCGGCUUGUCACGUCGGGUGUGAAAGCCCGGGGCUUAACCCCGGGUCUGCAGUCGAUACGGGCAGACUAGAGUGCGGUAGGGGAGAACGGAAUUCCCGGUGUAGCGGUGAAAUGCGCAGAUAUCAGGAGGAACACCGAUGGCGAAGGCAGGUCUCUGGGCAUUAACUGACGCUGAGGAGCGAAAGCAUGGGGAGCGAACAGG
RNAcentral lists this ribosomal RNA (253 nucleotides) under uncultured bacterium. Its description in RNAcentral is "partial 16S ribosomal RNA". It matches the Rfam family "Bacterial small subunit ribosomal RNA", at positions 524 to 776 of the family's 1533-position model. The record is from RNAcentral.